UGAGUAACCUGCCCUCCACUCUGGGAUAAGCCCGGGAAACUGGGUCUAAUACCGGAUAUGACCUCCUGUCUCAUGGCGGGUGGUGGAAAGUUUUUCGGUGGGGGAUGGACUCGCGGCCUAUCAGCUUGUUGGUGAGGUAAUGGCCCACCAAGGCGGCGACGGGUAGCCGGCCUGAGAGGGUGACCGGCCACACUGGGACUGAGACACGGCCCAGACUCCUACGGGAGGCAG
This 231-nucleotide ribosomal RNA is filed under the name uncultured bacterium. RNAcentral describes it as "partial 16S ribosomal RNA". It matches the Rfam family "Bacterial small subunit ribosomal RNA", at positions 118 to 351 of the family's 1533-position model. The record is from RNAcentral.